UCUGGUGAUCAUAGUGCAAGGGCCACACCCGAUUCCAUUCCGAACUCGGAAGUUAAGCCUUGUUACGCCGAUGGUACUUCACGGGAGACUGUGUGGGAGAGUAGGACGUCACCAGUA
Molecule: ribosomal RNA, 117 nt
Filed under: Fidelibacterota bacterium
Lineage: Bacteria; Pseudomonadati; Fidelibacterota
Source: RNAcentral